Long non-coding RNA from Bos taurus (domestic cattle), 2324 nucleotides. Lineage: Eukaryota; Metazoa; Chordata; Mammalia; Artiodactyla; Bovidae. The record is from Ensembl.
CCUGGUGUGCUGCGGUUCAUGGGGUCACAAAGAGUCAGACAGGACUGAGUGACUGAACUGAACUGAACUGAGGAAACUUCAGGAGAUGGUGAAGGACAGGGAAGCCUGGCGUGCUGCAGAGGUUGCAGGGUUGGAUACAACUGAGCGACUGAACAACAACAUACCAUAGGCAAUACUAUAUGGUACUAUUAAUUUCUUUUGAGUUUUUAUGUCUACUGCAUGCAACAAUUCUAAUCGUAUUAACUCUAUUUAGAAUAUGAACAUCUGGGUUUAAGUCCAGGAUGCCCCAUUCAAGUAGCCUGCUUCUUCAAGCCUUGGCCUUCAUGUUUCUAGGACUGAGAUCCUGCUACUUGCAGCAUGGGACUGCUACCAGGACUAAAUGAGUGCUUUGUUUACUGUAGAGUUACAGGUCUCUCCAGAAAGUAUCUUCCAGUAUGUGCCUAGAAGAUACCGUCCUAGCUACCCGUGGUCUGGGAGCCAAGCCAGUGAGGAGUGGGGCGGAUCUCAGCCCUCAGUCCCCUGUGAGAAUCUCUAGCAUCGUCCUGUCUUCAGGCCGGUGCCCCAUCCCCACGGCUGCUGCUGUGCCUUUAUCCAGAGACUUGUGUUUUCAGCCGUUUAGUCUUGUUGGGGGCUUGGGGCCGUGCAGUGGUCUGGCUGUGUGAACAUGGGGAAGGGUUGGGGUUAGAGACACUCUCUAGUGACUAUCACCCAGUCCUUCUGUUUUCAGUCCCGUCUGCACCCACACUUCUGGAAACAGCUGGUACCACCAAGUACAGGCCACAGAGCCUGUGGGAGUCCUCAGCGCAGGCCGAGCUGCUCCUUGCCUUUCCUCACCCUGGGCCUCAGAUUCAGCGUGUCAUCUACGAGUCAGCGGUUACUCAUCCUUCAGUGUUCAAGCCCCGCCACGUUUUGUCGUCUCUGUGUGGUCUUGUGCGGUACAGGGUCCUUUUGCCGUCAUUUAGACGGGUUUCCAGGAGGAGCUGGAGGAAGUGCCUGUGUGUAGUCUGCACGUGGGGACUGACUGACUCGUGGGCUGGGAAGGAAAAGGUAGCACAUGGGUCGGUGGACGGGUUGAGCAGGAGGCAGAUGGCAUGCUGGCCGAGGGUGAAGGGCCUGGCAGACCUGGAGGGGCAGAGACUAGGCGGGGGAGCUGAACCUCGUGGCGCAGCCUUAGAACUUAGGAGAGCUCCAUUCAAGGUACUGCCUCGGCAGAGUCCAAAGGUGUUGCUGAAUCAGGAUCAGAAAGCGGCUUCAAGCCGUAUCCAAGAGAGUGCAUCAAGGACCUUAGAAAUAGCUGUAAUCUUAUUCAAUUAACUUCAUUUGUAGAAUUCUUCCUGAGAAGAGAAAGUAUAGAAUAUACAUAUAAUACAUAUACUUUCCUAAUAAAAGUUACUAUAUAUACAUAGUAUUACUGUAUAUACGGUAUAUAUAAUAUACAGGCUAUUAUAUAUAGGCUUAUUUCACUUAGUAUAAUGUCCUCAAGCUUCAUCCAUGUUGUAGCAUGUGACAGAACUUCCUUCCUACUUAAGGAAAUAAAAUAAAAUUCCAUUUUAUGUAUAUACCACACUUUGUUCAUCUAUCUAUUGUUAUUCUGGUUCAGUCACUAAGUCAUGUCCGACUCUUUGUGACCUCAUAGACUGCAGCCUGGGUGUAGACUGUUUCUAAAAUUUAUAAUCUCUAAUAUUAUAAAAAUGCUGCUAAUGAAUGUCUUUGUGGAAAAAGUCUCUAUAUAUUAUUUAUAUAAUAUAUAUACUUCCUCUUGCUUUUGCAGAUGCCGUUGUGCCGAAGCACAGCCGCCCCCAAGGACAUAUUGUUUGCGUCUUUUUCCUGCGGUAACAGCAGAGUCUAUCGCCAACAAAGCCUAAAAUAUCUACUAUCUGGUCCUUUAAGAAACAGUUUGCUGACUUCUGAUCUGAAUGACUAGUAGAAGAAUGGUUAAGCCAGUUAAGGGGCAUCACCCCAGUUUACCAGCUAUUUUUUAACUGGUAAAGAAAAAAACCCCAAAUGUACUAUGUUAACCAUUUUUAAGUGUACAGUUCAAUAGUGUUACCCAUACUCACAUUGUUGUGAAAUAGAGCUUCAUCUUGCAAAACCGAAACUCUCUACCCAUUAAAUAUCAUUGCCCUUUCCCCAGCCUUGUAUCCUGCUCUCUGUUGCUAUGAAUUUGAAUACUUUAGAUACCUCAGAUGAGUGGAACCAUACAAGUUUUAUCUCUUUGUGCCUGCCUUAUCUCACUUAGCGUAAUGCCCUCAAGCUUCAUCCAUGUUGUAGCAUGCGACAGAACUUCCUUCCCACUUAAGGAAGGAAAUAAAAUUAGAAUUCCG